This 490-nucleotide ribosomal RNA is filed under the name Aureobasidium pullulans. RNAcentral describes it as "eukaryotic LSU rRNA". It matches the Rfam family "Eukaryotic large subunit ribosomal RNA", at positions 131 to 633 of the family's 3401-position model. Lineage: Eukaryota; Fungi; Ascomycota; Dothideomycetes; Dothideales; Saccotheciaceae. The record is from RNAcentral.
UUCGGGUUCGCAUUGUAAUUUGUAGAGGAUGAUUUGGGGAAGCCGCCUGUCUAAGUUCCUUGGAACAGGACGUCAUAGAGGGUGAGAAUCCCGUAUGUGACAGGAAAUGGCACCCUAUGUAAAUCUCCUUCGACGAGUCGAGUUGUUUGGGAAUGCAGCUCUAAAUGGGAGGUAAAUUUCUUCUAAAGCUAAAUAUUGGCGAGAGACCGAUAGCGCACAAGUAGAGUGAUCGAAAGAUGAAAAGCACUUUGGAAAGAGAGUUAAAAAGCACGUGAAAUUGUUGAAAGGGAAGCGCUUGCAAUCAGACUUGUUUAAACUGUUCGGCCGGUCUUCUGACCGGUUUACUCAGUUUGGACAGGCCAGCAUCAGUUUCGGCGGCCGGAUAAAGGCUCUGGGAAUGUGGCCUCCACUUCGGUGGAGGUGUUAUAGCCCAGGGUGUAAUACGGCCAGCCGGGACUGAGGUCCGCGCUUCGGCUAGGAUGCUGGCGUA